This 21-nucleotide non-coding RNA is filed under the name Caenorhabditis elegans. The record is from RNAcentral. Lineage: Eukaryota; Metazoa; Nematoda; Chromadorea; Rhabditida; Rhabditidae.
UCGGGAACAUAUUUUUAAAUC